Molecule: ribosomal RNA, 568 nt
Filed under: Pezizomycotina sp. 7R11-4
Lineage: Eukaryota; Fungi; Ascomycota
Description: eukaryotic LSU rRNA
Rfam family: 5.8S ribosomal RNA (bases 202-355)
Source: RNAcentral
CCGUAGGUGAACCUGCGGAGGGAUCAUUACAGAGUUGCAAAACUCCCUAAACCAUUGUGAACGUUACCUUCAAACCGUUGCUUCGGCGGGCGGCCCGGGUCCGCCCGGUGCCCCCUGGCCCCCUAGCGGGGCGCCCGCCGGAGGAAAACCCAACUCUUGAUUAUUAUGGCCUCUCUGAGUCUUCUGUACUGAAUAAGUCAAAACUUUCAACAACGGAUCUCUUGGUUCUGGCAUCGAUGAAGAACGCAGCGAAAUGCGAUAAGUAAUGUGAAUUGCAGAAUUCAGUGAAUCAUCGAAUCUUUGAACGCACAUUGCGCCCGCCAGUAUUCUGGCGGGCAUGCCUGUUCGAGCGUCAUUUCAACCAUCAAGCCCCGCGCUUGUGUUGGGGACCUGCGGCUGCCGCAGGCCCUGAAAACCAGUGGCGGGCUCGCUGUCACACCGGGCGUAGUAGAUUUUAUCUCGCUCAGGGCGUGCUGCGGGUUCCGGCCGUUAAAAAGCCUUUUUUACCCAAGGUUGACCUCGGAUCAGGUAGGAAUACCCGCUGAACUUAAGCAUAUCAAUAAGCGGA